This is an RNA transcript of Capsicum annuum, 558 nucleotides long. RefSeq lists it as uncharacterized. The transcript is spliced from 2 exons. Lineage: Eukaryota; Viridiplantae; Streptophyta; Magnoliopsida; Solanales; Solanaceae. The record is from RefSeq and is a predicted model, not a curated record.
GUGAUGAAGGUGUUGUUUUGGUAUUGCCAGGGCCUAAAGGUUUGAAUAGAAAAGAAGGUGGAAAGAUAGUGAAUGUGAAUUUGCCUAAAGGUCAAAUUGAAGGGUUGAAAAAUGAGAUGAGAAAGGAAUUAGGCACUAUAUGCUAGCACUUUUAUGUCUACUAGAAUGAAAGGCGCAACUAAAGCAAUGAUUGCCAUGAACAAGGCACUGAUUAUGUUUUUGAACUUUCUUUUCCUUUUUUUCUUUCAAAUCAGCAUAACUUCUAAAAUUUAAAAGAUUUGUUUGUGUUGUGCUAGCAUUUAGGUUCAUGCUACAAAGGUUAGAACCAUAGAUAUUUAGGUGUAGAUCCUUUAAUUGGUUUACUCUCUAUGGUUACAUCUCAGCAAAUGACUCCUUCAAAAUAAGACAAAGUGAUCAGACAAUUCCAGAAGCGCUCAUCACAGUUGGGCAUGACAGUAAGGACACUAAACUAUCCCAUUAUUGACUUUUACACCCUUUCAAUUGUUUGACUUGUUACCUAAUAUUGUUAACAUUAUAUUUGAUAUUUUCACUCACUUA